UACAGAGGCCCCGAGCGUUAAUCGGAAUCACUGGGCUUAAAGGGUGCGUAGGCGGGUCAGUAAGCGCUUUGUGAAAUCCCACAGCUCAACUGUGGAACCGCAGGGCGAACUGCUGAUCUUGAGGAAGCUAGAGGCUGGUAGAACGAUAGGUGGAGCGGUGGAAUGCGUAGAGACCUAUCGGAAUGCCGAAAGUGAAGACAGCCAGCUGGGGCUUUCCUGACGCUAAAGCACGAAAGCGUGGGGAGCAAACCGG
This 253-nucleotide ribosomal RNA is filed under the name uncultured bacterium. RNAcentral's name for it is "partial 16S ribosomal RNA". It matches the Rfam family "Bacterial small subunit ribosomal RNA", at positions 524 to 776 of the family's 1533-position model. The record is from RNAcentral.